GAUGAACGCUGGCGGCGUGCCUAAUACAUGCAAGUCGAGCGAACAGACGAGGAGCUUGCUCCUCUGACGUUAGCGGCGGACGGGUGAGUAACACGUGGAUAACCUACCUAUAAGACUGGGAUAACUUCGGGAAACCGGAGCUAAUACCGGAUAAUAUAUUGAACCGCAUGGUUCAAUAGUGAAAGACGGUUUUGCUGUCACUUAUAGAUGGAUCCGCGCCGCAUUAGCUAGUUGGUAAGGUAACGGCUUACCAAGGCAACGAUGCGUAGCCGACCUGAGAGGGUGAGCGGCCACACUGGAACUGAGACACGGUCUAGACUCCUACGGGAGGCAGCAGUAGGGAAUCUUCCGCAAUGGGCGAAAGCCUGACGGAGCAACGCCGCGUGAGUGAUGAAGGUCUUCGGAUCGUAAAACUCUGUUAUUAGGGAAGAACAAAUGUGUAAGUAACUAUGCACGUCUUGACGGUACCUAAUCAGAAAGCCACGGCUAACUACGUG
RNAcentral lists this ribosomal RNA (497 nucleotides) under uncultured bacterium. Its description in RNAcentral is "partial 16S ribosomal RNA". It matches the Rfam family "Bacterial small subunit ribosomal RNA", at positions 28 to 507 of the family's 1533-position model. The record is from RNAcentral.